UUAGGAAGUAGUUAAGUUGGUUAGAGCUCUUGGCUGGCAGUCAAGAGGUCGUGGGUUCGACUCCCAUCUUCUCCAU
This 76-nucleotide transfer RNA is filed under the name Neptunitalea chrysea. Its description in RNAcentral is "tRNA-Ala". It matches the Rfam family "tRNA". Rfam says of the family: Transfer RNA (tRNA) molecules are approximately 80 nucleotides in length. Their secondary structure includes four short double-helical elements and three loops (D, anti-codon, and T loops). Further hydrogen bonds mediate the characteristic L-shaped molecular structure. tRNAs have two regions of fundamental functional importance: the anti-codon, which is responsible for specific mRNA codon recognition, and the 3' end, to which the tRNAs corresponding amino acid is attached (by aminoacyl-tRNA synthetases). tRNAs cope with the degeneracy of the genetic code in two manners: having more than one tRNA (with a specific anti-codon) for a particular amino acid; and 'wobble' base-pairing, i.e. permitting non-standard base-pairing at the 3rd anti-codon position. The record is from RNAcentral. Lineage: Bacteria; Pseudomonadati; Bacteroidota; Flavobacteriia; Flavobacteriales; Flavobacteriaceae.